CCUACGGGUGGCAGCAGUGGGGAAUAUUGCACAAUGGGGGAAACCCUGAUGCAGCAACGCCGCGUGAGUGAAGAAGUAUCUCGGUAUGUAAAGCUCUAUCAGCAGGGAAGAAAAUGACGGUACCUGACUAAGAAGCCCCGGCUAACUACGUGACAGCAGCCGCGGGAAUACGUAGGGGGCAAGCGUUAUCCGGAUUUACUGGGUGUAAAGGGAGCGUAGACGGUGUGGCAAGUCUGAAGUGAAAGCCCGGGGGUCAACCCCGGGAGUGCUUUGGAAACUGUCAUGCUGGAGUGCUGGAGAGGUAAGCGGAAUUCCUAGUGUAGCGGUGAAAUGCGUAGAUAUUAGGAGGAACACCAGUGGCGAAGGCGGCUUACUGGACAGUAACUGACGUUGAGGCUCGAAAGCGUGGGGAGCAAACAGGAUUAGAUACCCCGGUAGUC
Molecule: ribosomal RNA, 440 nt
Filed under: uncultured bacterium
Lineage: Bacteria
Description: partial 16S ribosomal RNA
Rfam family: Bacterial small subunit ribosomal RNA
Source: RNAcentral